ACACCACAAUAUGAUAGGUGAAUUUAAGUAAGGUCUCCUCGGAUAAUCUAUAUAAUCUAUCAAUAGAAGUCUCUUCACCAAAUGAUAAUACCCAUGCUUGAAGGGUUGCCUCAGAUCAGCAGGAGCCAGACACUGCAUGGCUCAUCCAUCAGGUAAAGAAAGGCCAACAAUAAAAUACAUGUUAUUUGUGGAUGUUUGUUGCGGGAAGAGUUUCAUCAAGAGAACAAGGAAAUAAAGUAUCUGCAGAUAUAGGAGUUUGCGGGUGUAGAAAGAAUAAGGGAAUCAAUGUUGUCUGUCGGAACAACUGGUUGGGCUACUGCUUCUUUGAGGAGUUGGUUUCUUGAUUCUUUAUCUUCGAUCUAGAAAUAGUUUCAGUGCAAACUAUUCUCAUACUAUCAAACCGGAAUAACUCGAUUGUGAGGAGAGGUUUAAAUAACUCGUGGAACCUUAUACUCUCCUUUAUCAGUAUCAUUUCGUUGGACCUGUUCUUUCUAAGAGAUAGGGGAUACAUUUUCUAUUCAUGCCGCUUUCUUUUGUUGUAUCGCUAAAUAAGCAGGCUUCCGUCAAGCGGGGUCAGUCAAAGGGAAAGAAGAAGAGUGAGCGAGAAAGCACUGAGCUUACUCUUUAAGAAUUGAUUACUGUUGAUGGCGGGGAAUGGAAACCUUUCCUUUUCUAGUUGUGAAACUAACUCCAUUAUUUUAUUAAGUGACA
This 711-nucleotide long non-coding RNA is filed under the name Brassica rapa (field mustard). RNAcentral's name for it is "long non-coding RNA (BRAP_LNC000358)". Lineage: Eukaryota; Viridiplantae; Streptophyta; Magnoliopsida; Brassicales; Brassicaceae. The record is from RNAcentral.